GCGCUGGUGGUUCAGUGGUAGAAUUCUCGCCUGCCACGCGGGAGACCGGAGUUCGAUUCCCCGCUAGCGCA
Molecule: transfer RNA, 71 nt
Filed under: Dendronephthya gigantea
Lineage: Eukaryota; Metazoa; Cnidaria; Anthozoa; Malacalcyonacea; Nephtheidae
Description: tRNA-Gly
Rfam family: tRNA
About the family: Transfer RNA (tRNA) molecules are approximately 80 nucleotides in length. Their secondary structure includes four short double-helical elements and three loops (D, anti-codon, and T loops). Further hydrogen bonds mediate the characteristic L-shaped molecular structure. tRNAs have two regions of fundamental functional importance: the anti-codon, which is responsible for specific mRNA codon recognition, and the 3' end, to which the tRNAs corresponding amino acid is attached (by aminoacyl-tRNA synthetases). tRNAs cope with the degeneracy of the genetic code in two manners: having more than one tRNA (with a specific anti-codon) for a particular amino acid; and 'wobble' base-pairing, i.e. permitting non-standard base-pairing at the 3rd anti-codon position.
Source: RNAcentral